AACAGAGGGAAGCAAUACCGCGAGGUGGAGCAAACCCCUAAAAGCCGUCCCAGUUCGGAUUGCAGGCUGCAACCCGCCUGUAUGAAGUUGGAAUCGCUAGUAAUCGCGGAUCAGCAUGCCGCGGUGAAUACGUUCCCGGGCCUUGUACACACCGCCCGUCACACCAUGAGAGUCGGGAACACCCGAAGUCCGUAGCCUAACUUAUCUGAGAGGGCGCGGCCGAAGGUGGGUUCGAUAAUUGGGGUGAAGUCGUAACAAGGUACC
Molecule: ribosomal RNA, 264 nt
Filed under: uncultured bacterium
Lineage: Bacteria
Description: partial 16S ribosomal RNA
Rfam family: Bacterial small subunit ribosomal RNA
Source: RNAcentral